GAUGAACGCUGGCGGCGUGCCUAAUACAUGCAAGUCGAGCGAACAGACGAGGAGCUUGCUCCUCUGACGUUAGCGGCGGACGGGUGAGUAACACGUGGAUAACCUACCUAUAAGACUGGGAUAACUUCGGGAAACCGGAGCUAAUACCGGAUAAUAUAUUGAACCGCAUGGUUCAAUAGUGAAAGACGGUUUUGCUGUCACUUAUAGAUGGAUCCGCGCCGCAUUAGCUAGUUGGUAAGGUAACGGCUUACCAAGGCAACGAUGCGUAGCCGACCUGAGAGGGUGAUCAGCCACACUGGAACUGAGACACGGUCCAGACUCCUACGGGAGGCAGCAGUAGGGAAUCUUCCGCAAUGGGCGAAAGCCUGACGGAGCAACGCCGCGUGAGUGAUGAAGGUCUUCGGAUCGUAAAGCUCUGUUAUUAGGGAAGAACAAAUGUGUAAGAAACUAUGCACGUCUUGACGGUACCUAAUCAGAAAGCCACGGCUAACUACGUG
This 497-nucleotide ribosomal RNA is filed under the name uncultured bacterium. RNAcentral's name for it is "partial 16S ribosomal RNA". It matches the Rfam family "Bacterial small subunit ribosomal RNA", at positions 28 to 507 of the family's 1533-position model. The record is from RNAcentral.